GGGGCCUUAGCUCAGCUGGGAGAGCACCUGCCUUGCACGCAGGAGGUCAGCGGUUCGAUCCCGCUAGGCUCCA
RNAcentral lists this transfer RNA (73 nucleotides) under Bacillus cereus. Its description in RNAcentral is "tRNA-Ala". It matches the Rfam family "tRNA". Rfam says of the family: Transfer RNA (tRNA) molecules are approximately 80 nucleotides in length. RNAcentral also lists the same sequence under 2 other names. Lineage: Bacteria; Bacillati; Bacillota; Bacilli; Caryophanales; Bacillaceae. The record is from RNAcentral.